Molecule: ribosomal RNA, 427 nt
Filed under: uncultured bacterium
Lineage: Bacteria
Description: bacterial SSU rRNA
Rfam family: Bacterial small subunit ribosomal RNA
Source: RNAcentral
UGGGGAAUAUUGGACAAUGGGCGCAAGCCUGAUCCAGCCAUGCCGCGUGUGUGAAGAAGGCCUUCGGGUUGUAAAGCACUUUUGUCCGGAAAGAAAGCGAAUCGGCGAAUACCCGGUUUGGAUGACGGUACCGGAAGAAUAAGCACCGGCUAACUUCGUGCCAGCAGCCGCGGUAAUACGAAGGGUGCAAGCGUUGUCCGGAUUUACUGGGUGUAAAGGGCGCGCAGGCGGGAUAAAAAGUCAGUGGUGAAAUCCUACAGCUUAACUGUAGAACUGCCUUUGAUACUUUUAUUCUUGAGUUCGGGAGAGAGAGACGGAAUUCCAGGUGUAGUGGUGAAAUACGUAGAUAUCUGGAAGAACACCAGUUGCGAAGGCGGUCUCUUGGUCCGACACUGACGCUGAGGCGCGAAAGCGUGGGGAGCAAACA